This 64-nucleotide transfer RNA is filed under the name Nitrosococcus oceani. RNAcentral also lists the same sequence under 1 other name. Lineage: Bacteria; Pseudomonadati; Pseudomonadota; Gammaproteobacteria; Chromatiales; Chromatiaceae. The record is from RNAcentral.
GUAGCUGGUAAGAAAAUCCCUUGGGGGUAACCCCGUGCCGGUUCGAUUCCGGCCCCGGGCACCA